GGACGACGCUCUGGAGAGACUCACUAAGAGCACCGAAGGAGUAACCUGAUUAACUUCAGGGUAAUCUCUCAGGUAAAAGGACAGGGUAAAGGAC
Molecule: non-coding RNA, 94 nt
Filed under: Orenia sp.
Lineage: Bacteria; Bacillati; Bacillota; Clostridia; Halanaerobiales; Halobacteroidaceae
Description: Glycine sequence
Rfam family: Glycine riboswitch aptamer
About the family: This family represents the bacterial glycine riboswitch.
Source: RNAcentral